UGGGGAAUUUUGGACAAUGGGCGCAAGCCUGAUCCAGCAAUGCCGCGUGCAGGACGAAGGCCUUCGGGUUGUAAACUGCUUUUGUACGGAGCGAAAAGGUCUGCCCUAAUACGGUGGGCUCAUGACGGUACCGUAAGAAUAAGCACCGGCUAACUACGUGCCAGCAGCCGCGGUAAUACGUAUGGUGCGAGCGUUAAUCUGAAUUACUGGGCGUAAAGCGUGCGCAGGCGGUGAUGUAAGACAGAUGUGAAAUCCCCGGGCUCAACCUGGGAACUGCGUUUGUGACUGCAUCACUCGAGUACGGCAGAGGGAGGUGGAAUUCCGCGUGUAGCAGUGAAAUGCGUAGAUAUGCGGAGGAACACCGAUGGCGAAGGCAAUCCCCUGGACCUGUACUGACGCUCAUGCACGAAAGAGUGGGGAGCAAACA
RNAcentral lists this ribosomal RNA (427 nucleotides) under uncultured bacterium. RNAcentral describes it as "bacterial SSU rRNA". It matches the Rfam family "Bacterial small subunit ribosomal RNA", at positions 355 to 774 of the family's 1533-position model. The record is from RNAcentral.